Molecule: ribosomal RNA, 580 nt
Filed under: uncultured cyanobacterium
Lineage: Bacteria; Bacillati; Cyanobacteriota
Description: bacterial SSU rRNA
Rfam family: Bacterial small subunit ribosomal RNA
Source: RNAcentral
GCUAAUACCCCAUAUGCCGAGAGGUGAAAUGAAUUUCGCCUGAGGAUGAGCUCGCGUCUGAUUAGCUAGUUGGUGAGGUAAGAGCUCACCAAGGCAUCGAUCAGUAGCUGGUCUGAGAGGAUGAUCAGCCACACUGGGACUGAGACACGGCCCAGACUCCUACGGGAGGCAGCAGUGGGGAAUUUUCCGCAAUGGGCGAAAGCCUGACGGAGCAACACCGCGUGAGGGAUGAAGGCCUCUGGGCUGUAAACCUCUUUUUUCAAGGAGGAAGAACUGACGGUCCUUGAUGAAUAAGCCACGGCUAAUUCCGUGCCAGCAGCCGCGGUAAUACGGAGGAGGCAAGCGUUAUCCGGAAUUAUUGGGCGUAAAGCGUCCGUAGGCGGCUCUAUAAGUCUGCCGUUAAAAAUUGAGGCUUAAUUCCCUUCUGGCUCUGGAAACUGUUGGGCUUGAGUGUGGUAGGGGCGGAAGGAAUUCCUAGUGUAGCGGUGAAAUGCGUAGAUAUUGGAAAGAACACCAGUGGCGAAAGCGCUCUACUGGGCCAUCACUGACGCUCAUGGACGAAAGCCAGGGGAGCGAAAGG